CCUACGGGAGGCAGCAGUAGGGAAUAUUCCACAAUGGGCGAAAGCCUGAUGGAGCAACGCCGCGUGCAGGAUUAAGGCCUUCGGGUUGUAAACUGCUUUUAUAUGUGAAGAAUAUGACGGUAGCAUAUGAAUAAGCCUCGGCUAACUCCGUGCCAGCAGCCGCGGUCAUACGGAGGAGGCAAGCGUUAUCCGGAUUUACUGGGCGUAAAGAGUUGCGUAGGCGGUUUUGUAAGCAAAUAGUGAAAUCAUGUGGCUCAACCAUAUUGACUAUUAUUUGAACUGCAGAACUUGAGAGCGAGAGGGGUGAUUGGAAUUCCCGGUGUAGGAGUGAAAUCCGUAGAUAUCGGGAGGAACACCAAUGGCGUAGGCAGAUCACUGGCUCGUUUCUGACGCUAAGGCACGAAAGCGUGGGUAGCAAACGGGAUUAGAUACCCCGGUAGUCCACGCCGUAAACUAUGGAUGCUAGCUGUUUGGAGUAUCGACCCCUCUGAGUAGCGAAGCUAACGCGUUAAGCAUCCCGCCUGGGGAGUACGAUCGCAAGAUUAAAACUCAAAUGAAUUGACGG
This 565-nucleotide ribosomal RNA is filed under the name uncultured bacterium. RNAcentral describes it as "bacterial SSU rRNA". It matches the Rfam family "Bacterial small subunit ribosomal RNA", at positions 338 to 916 of the family's 1533-position model. The record is from RNAcentral.